GUGAGGAAUAUUGCGCAAUGGAGGCAACUCUGACGCAGCCAUGCCGCGUGCAGGAAGAAGGCGCUACGCGUUGUAAACUGCUUUUAACCGGGAAGAAACCCCAGGACGUGUCCUGGGUUGACGGUACCGGAGGAAUAAGCACCGGCUAACUUCGUGCCAGCAGCCGCGGUAAUACGAAGGGUGCAAGCGUUAUCCGGAUUCAUUGGGUUUAAAGGGUGCGUAGGCGGAGCGUUAAGUCAGUGGUGAAAUCCUGCAGCUUAACUGUAGACUUGCCAUUGAUACUGGCGCUCUUGAGUGCGCUGGAAGUGGGCGGAAUGUGCCGUGUAGCGGUGAAAUGCUUAGAUAUGGCACAGAACACCAAUUGCGAAGGCAGCUCACUAAGGCGAUACUGACGCUGAGGCACGAAAGCGUGGGGAUCGAACAGGAUUAGAAACCCGAGUAGUCC
This 445-nucleotide ribosomal RNA is filed under the name uncultured bacterium. Its description in RNAcentral is "partial 16S ribosomal RNA". It matches the Rfam family "Bacterial small subunit ribosomal RNA", at positions 354 to 796 of the family's 1533-position model. The record is from RNAcentral.